AUGGCGGAGGAACCGUCCGCCAAGCAUCAUCAUGGCGAGACGUCGGACAAGAGUAGCAACCUCGUUGAUGUUCAUGUCCCCGGCGACAAACGCGAGUAUACCAAAACCCUCACAGGGGUUGAGCUCCAUGGCAAGGAGACGCUGGAGAUCGUCUGCACCAGUGAACUAGACAAGGCCGACGAGAUGAUCUCCAGGCUUUGGAGGAAGGUUGGCGGCUCGCAUCAUAGGAUCGUCGGCGUUGGUGUGCACUACACCAGCGGAGAUGAACCUCCCUAG
Molecule: ribosomal RNA, 276 nt
Filed under: Triticum aestivum (bread wheat)
Lineage: Eukaryota; Viridiplantae; Streptophyta; Magnoliopsida; Poales; Poaceae
Description: partial small subunit ribosomal RNA
Source: RNAcentral